AGCUUUUCGAAUCAGUGCUGGGAUUUCGUCAAACAACAACCCAUUAGGACUGAUCAGGCUUUUAAGAUAAGUGAAGUU
RNAcentral lists this microRNA precursor (78 nucleotides) under Schistosoma margrebowiei. RNAcentral describes it as "mir-3492 microRNA precursor family". It matches the Rfam family "mir-3492 microRNA precursor family". Lineage: Eukaryota; Metazoa; Platyhelminthes; Trematoda; Strigeidida; Schistosomatidae. The record is from Rfam by way of RNAcentral.